Non-coding RNA from Vicugna pacos (alpaca), 1500 nucleotides. The record is from RefSeq and is a predicted model, not a curated record. NCBI's taxonomy places the organism in Eukaryota, Metazoa, Chordata, Mammalia, Artiodactyla, Camelidae.
CCAUAUGCAACCCAUAACCCAAGCAAAUGCAGAUAACUGUGGUCCCAGGAUGCCUUGUUUCUGCAUGCCUCAGGACCUCUGCACGUGCUGUUUCGUUUGCUCGUAAUGCCAUUGCUGUCUUUGUCUGUCUGAUUAGGUUACCAUUCAAAGCUCAGCUCAAAAGCCCAGCUCCUUUUCUCUAAUCUCCCUCUACCUCUUCCCCUGUGCCCAAGGGGAACCACAGGUGACCUCAGGUGUCUUCCUUACCACCUGGAAACUAGUACAUAGUCACAGUAGCAAGAGUGAACACUUACUGAGCACUCUCAAUUUUUUUGCUUGUCUGAACUCACUUGAUCUUCACAACAAUUAUUCUCCCCAUUUUACAGAUGAGGAAACUGAGAGACAGUGAGGUUAAGAAAUGUGUAAGUGGCACAAGAAAUGGACUUCUCAGCCUCAAGCAACUCUGAAUUUGGGGCCAGACCAUUCUUCACUAUGCAGUCCAUCCAGUGCAUCCUAGGAAGUAGAGCAUGCUUGGCCUCCACCCAGGAGACAACCACAUGGCUGGUCAGCAUUUCAGGUUGACGUUGAUGGGAGGAAAACAGAAUGAGGCGGUUUAUAGUUUAAGGGCCUGACCUCUAGCGGCCAGCAAUGGUAACUCCUCCACGAGAGAACAAAUUGUCUCACAAAACCCGACAGGGAGUGAGCUUGGAGAGGCUUCCGAGAGCAUCUUUCUCUGCCCCCCUCACGUUGCAGGGGAGGAAACAGAGAUCCGCAGAAGAUGAGAAACUUGCGCGUGGCCGCUAAGACGGGGCUGGGGCCAAGGUCUCUUUCUUUCACUUCAUCUCCUCCAUUGCCCAGCACACAUUUAAAAGCUACUUUUCCUUAUAUAGUGCAGUUAAUCAACAAACAGAACAACAAUGGCAGACUCCAGUUUCAGGCGUCCAUUCUGUAAUUGCCACAAACCUGAUUAGAUAAGUGUGGAUAGAGAUUUCGGUUCCUUACUGGAUGAAAAACAGCUGGAUGGUAAGGGUCAUUUCUUAAUUAUCUUUGAAUCGCUAGGACUUGUCACCAUAGCUGCCACACGGUGUCAGGUGGACAGCAGAUAGCUAGAUGGACAGGUAAAUUUUAAUAUGAAAUUAGACAUCAGGGGGAGGGAAAUAGCUCAGUGGUAGAGCGCAUGUUUAACAUGCUGGAGGUCCUGGGUUCAAUCCCCAGUACCUCCAUUUUUUUUAAUUAUAUAAAUUUUUAAAAAGAAAGAAAGAAAUUAGACAUCAAUUAAAACUGAAAGCUAUCUGCCUAGUUUUCCAAUUACCAAAAUGGCAGAUCUAAGAUUUGAGAUCAACAGUUCAGUCUUACACUAAAAGCUACCGUCUUAAGCACUUGCCCUGGGGACCCCUGCUACCCAGGAAAGCCUCCCUAAAUUUCACAGAAGCAGCCUUUCCGGAUCUCUGAAUUAACACAGCUGAUUCAAGAGGAGAUUGUGUUUUUCAGACGCUCAGUCAAAAGUUUUUGCUCUCAAAU